This 498-nucleotide ribosomal RNA is filed under the name uncultured bacterium. RNAcentral describes it as "bacterial SSU rRNA". It matches the Rfam family "Bacterial small subunit ribosomal RNA", at positions 208 to 695 of the family's 1533-position model. The record is from RNAcentral.
AAUCCUACCGCAAGGAGAUAAGCCCAUAUCCUAUCAGCUUGUUGGUGAGGUAACGGCUCACCAAGGCUUACGGGUAGCUGGUCUGAGAGGAUGAUCAGCCACACUGGAACUGAGACACGGUCCAGACUCCUACGGGAGGCUGCAGUCGAGAAUCAUUGUCAAUGCACGAAAGUGUGAACAUGCGACGCCGCGUGGAGGAAGACGGCCUUCGGGUUGUAAACUCCUGUCAGCAGGGAGGAAGGAUAGCGCUACUAAUAUCAGUGUUAUUUGACAGUACCUGCAGAGGAAGUCACGGCUAACUCUGUGCCAGCAGCCGCGGUAAUACAGAGGUGGCGAACGUUGUUCGGGAUUUACUGGGCGUAAAGGGUCCGCAGCGGUCCGGUGUGUCGGAUGUGAAAGCCCACGGGCUUAACCGUGGNAAUUUGCAUUCGAAACUACCGGACUAGAGUACUGGAGGGGAGAAAGGGAACACUUGGUGUANCGNUAAAAUGCGUAAAU